RNAcentral lists this ribosomal RNA (248 nucleotides) under uncultured bacterium. RNAcentral's name for it is "partial 16S ribosomal RNA". It matches the Rfam family "Bacterial small subunit ribosomal RNA", at positions 85 to 334 of the family's 1533-position model. The record is from RNAcentral.
AAGAUGGCGACCGGCGCACGGGUGAGUAACACGUAUCCAACCUGCCCUUUACUCGGGGAUAGCCUUUCGAAAGAAAGAUUAAUACCCGAUAGCAUAAUGAUUCCGCAUGGUUUCAUUAUUAAAGGAUUCCGGUAAAGGAUGGGGAUGCGUUCCAUUAGGUUGUUGGUGAGGUAACGGCUCACCUAGUCUUCGAUGGAUAGGGGUUCUGAGAGGAAGGUCCCCCACAUUGGAACUGAGACACGGUCCAA